Molecule: ribosomal RNA, 446 nt
Filed under: uncultured Methanosaeta sp.
Lineage: Archaea; Methanobacteriati; Methanobacteriota; Methanomicrobia; Methanotrichales; Methanotrichaceae
Description: bacterial SSU rRNA
Rfam family: Archaeal small subunit ribosomal RNA
Source: RNAcentral
AGCCUGCGGUUUAAUUGGAUUCAACGCCGGAAAUCUCACCGGGGCGACAGCAGUAUGAAGGUCAGGCUGAAGACCUUACCCGAUUAGCUGAGAGGUGGUGCAUGGCCGUCGUCAGUUCGUACUGUGAAGCAUCCUGUUAAGUCAGGCAACGAGCGAGACCCACGUCCACAGUUGCCAGCAUACCCUCCGGGGUGAUGGGUACACUGUGGAGACCGCCGCUGCUAAAGCGGAGGAAGGAGUGGGCAACGGUAGGUCAGUAUGCCCCGAAUCUCCCGGGCUACACGCGGGCUACAAUGGUUGGUACAAUGGGCAUCUACCCCGAAAGGGGAAGGAAAUCUCUUAAAGCCAAUCGUAGUUCGGAUUGAGGGCUGCAACUCGCCCUCAUGAAGCUGGAAUCCGUAGUAAUCGCGUUUCAACAGAACGCGGUGAAUACGUCCCUGCUCCUU